AGAGUUUGAUCAUGGCUCAGGAUGAACGCUAGCUACAGGCUUAACACAUGCAAGUCGAGGGGAAACGACAUCGAAAGCUUGCUUUUGAUGGGCGUCGACCGGCGCACGGGUGAGUAACGCGUAUCCAACCUGCCCACCACUUGGGGAUAACCUUGCGAAAGUAAGACUAAUACCCAAUGACGUCUCUAGAAGACAUCUGAAAAGAGAUUAAAGAUUUAUCGGUGAUGGAUGGGGAUGCGUCUGAUUAGCUUGUUGGCGGGGUAACGCCGCAAGGCUACGAUCAGUAGGGGUUCUGAGAGGAAGGUCCCCCANAUUGGAACUGAGACACGGUCCAAACUUCUACGGGAGCA
Molecule: ribosomal RNA, 350 nt
Filed under: uncultured bacterium
Lineage: Bacteria
Description: bacterial SSU rRNA
Rfam family: Bacterial small subunit ribosomal RNA
Source: RNAcentral